This 2518-nucleotide long non-coding RNA is filed under the name Triticum aestivum (bread wheat). RNAcentral's name for it is "long non-coding RNA (TAES_LNC018163)". The record is from RNAcentral. Lineage: Eukaryota; Viridiplantae; Streptophyta; Magnoliopsida; Poales; Poaceae.
GCCGAGGGUGACGUCCACCUUGGCCCUGCGGAUGGUGGCCACGGCCGGUGGGUACAGCCUCAGCGUCUCGUUCAGGAUCAUCCCCAGCUGGAACGGGACACGGAGAAGAAACAAGGUGAGUCUUUUUUUGUCGCUGCGGAGUUACCGGAAUACCCCUCCGGUCCGGACGUUUUGUUUGAAAAGAUCAUCCUUCGGUAGUAAGUACUUUCGGUUUCGGAACAGUGUUGUGUGGGUGGCGUACCGUUUUCAGCUUGUGCAGGUGCUCCUUGGCGGGGAGCUCGCCGAGGCCGCACACGGCGAGGACCUCCUGCCGGGCGCGGUCCUGCCACUCCGGGUGCAUGGCGAGGAGCACCGUGGCCCAGGUCAGCAGGUUGGUGGUCGUCUGCUUGCCGGCGAAGAAGAACGUCUUGCACUCCUCCACCAUGUCCUCCACCGGCAUGGCCUGCGACUUCUUGUCGCGGGCAUUUAUCAUCAGCCCCAGCAGGUCCCUGAAGCCGCCGCUGUUGCCCUUCUCCUUGAUCUCCGCCUCGUGGUCCUCGGCGGCGUCGCUGCGCCGGCCGAUGAGCUGGACUAGGCCCCGCCUGAUCUCCCUGUCCAGGCCCCACGACAUCCGGUUCUUCUUGGUCGGCAAGAACCUGCAGAUCAAUUGAAUUGACGACGGCGGACACAUGAGUACACAAGUAUGCAGAUGUUAAUGGAGAAUCUCUGAGCGGUGACUUGACUGAUUCGGUUGGGAUUAAUGACGUAUUUGACGUACCGGUAGCCCGGGACGAGCACCUUGCGGAAGGCCUCGGAGGCGAAGGCCAUGAGGCGGCCCUGCAUGCGGAACACCACGCGGCCGGAGGCGUAGCUGCGCCCGAACGUGGCGCGCGUGAUGGCCUCCUCGGCCACCGCCUGGAACCACUCCGCCACGUCCACCUCCACCUCGCCGCCGCUCGCGCACGCCAUCGCCCGCCACCUCUCCGCCAGCGCCGCCACUGACCUGCCGACGUGCGGCACCAGCCGCUGCAAAAAAAAACAUCGCCGGCGCGGCGCCGUGUCACUCGCUGCACACUGACCAAGCCGAGCGGGCCAAAGAGAAAGGGCGGUAUGCGUUUCAUCAGUACGUUGAGGUUGUCGGGGUAGAAGGCGGGGGCGAGAACGCGGCGGUGGAGGGCCCACUUGUCGCCGUGCAGGCUGACGAGCCCGUCUCCCUCGAGCUGCCGGACGAUGGGGUGCGCCUCGUAGCGGUCGAACGCCUCCGCGCGCGUGAGGAAGAUCUCGCGGACGAGCUCGGGGUCCGCCACCGUGAGCCGCGGCGUCGGCCCGAACCAUAUCAAGAACGUCGGCCCUGCGCCGCCACGACAAGACCCAACCACCAUUAGAACUCCACCCAUUGAUUGCGGAGAACGUGAGCUGCUGACAGCGAGAGAAGGGAAGAAACACGCGGCGCAUGCAUGCGUACCGUAGAUCUUCCUCCAGUAGUGGUAGAAGGCGAGCACCCGGGGCAGCGCGUUGUGGGAGGUGGCCGGCGACAUGGGCUUGGCGGUGGCCUCCGCCAUGAGUGCCACCAUCUCCCGGACGCAGCCGACGAGGAAGCGGUACGGCGGGCCGCGCACGCCCUGCCGCGCGAAGUGCGCCUCCAGCCGCCGCGGCCGCCACCACAGCGCGUCCGUCACCCGCGCCGCCACGUGCAGGAGCAGGCACGCCGCCGUGACGGCGACGGCCAGCCCCCUCCACGUCGACCACCAGUUCUCCGGCGCCCCCAUACCUUCCUCCUUUUGCUUCUUGAUUGAAACAGAAGGGCACCCGGGAGAACAGGGGUCCGAUCCCUCGACGAGCGUUUGGGUCAGCGCGGUGGCCGGUGGGUUGCUCGAGCGUUUGUUGGGUUGGUUUGGAAAUGAGAAAGGAGCAGGAGGAGGGAGGGAGGGCGGGAGGAGGCGGCCGUUAUAUAGGGGAGCGGCCGGCGGCGUUGGUCGGGCCCAGCCCGCGCUCUGUUCUGCUCUGUUUCUGUUCAUGCUUUGGGUUUGUCCCAGUCAACGAGUUAGGUUUAAGCCCAAGCCUCCUGGGUUGACCAUGCUGGCUGGCUUGCUGAACUGAUGUGGCAUUUCCUGUUUUCUGUUGCAAAUUGUAAAGGAGAGCAAAACCCGGAAAUGGAACGUGAAAGGCACGGGUUAAAAUCACGCAUUAUUUCUGAAUUCAUUUCAGGAUUUCCGGCGAUGCGCUUUCAGUGGGAGGAGACGUCCCGUCGAUGAUGAGGCCUCUGCGAUGACUUCGUAAAUCUCAGGAUAAUAUGCCGACUCAGUCUCUCGAAGGUGCUCAUAGGAGUAGAGUGUGCGUGUAUGCGUACAUACGGGUGAGUGUAUGCGCGUAUGUGUGAGCGCUUACAUUUGUAUUGUGUUCAAAAAAAAUAGGAGGCUAUUGGAGACAAUUUUUUUUUCUCUCCUACUUAAAAUAAGUAACGUUAUGUUGUCCACCACCUCCUUUGUCCAACAUUCUCCCUUUUCCUCCGGACUUUUACUCACUUACAAAAUAAAAG